CAAUAGCGUAUAUUAAAGUUGUUGCAGUUAAAAAGCUCGUAGUUGGAUCUCAGGUGCAGGCUGGCGGUCCACUUUGCGGUGGUACUGCCUGUCCUGACCUACCUCCCGGUUUUCCCUUGGUGCUCUUGACUGAGUGCCUCGGGUGGCCGGAACGUUUACUUUGAAAAAAUUAGAGUGUUCAAAGCAGGCGUUGUGCCUGAAUAUUCGUGCAUGGAAUAAUGGAAUAGGACCUCGGUUCUAUUUUGUUGGUUUUCGGAACUUGAGGUAAUGAUUAAGAGGGACAGACGGGGGCAUUCGUAUUACGGUGUUAGAGGUGAAAUUCUUGGAUCGCCGUAAGACGAACUACUGCGAAAGCAUUUGCCAAGAAUGUUUUCAUUAAUCAAGAACGAAAGUCAGAGGUUCGAAGACGAUCAGAUACCGU
This 421-nucleotide ribosomal RNA is filed under the name uncultured eukaryote. RNAcentral describes it as "SSU rRNA". It matches the Rfam family "Eukaryotic small subunit ribosomal RNA", at positions 592 to 1018 of the family's 1831-position model. The record is from RNAcentral.